Long non-coding RNA from Magallana angulata, 459 nucleotides. RefSeq lists it as uncharacterized. Lineage: Eukaryota; Metazoa; Mollusca; Bivalvia; Ostreida; Ostreidae. The record is from RefSeq and is a predicted model, not a curated record. The transcript is spliced from 3 exons.
CGUAAAUAUUAUUUUAUGCAUUUUUUAUUCUAGCUUUACAAAUUAACGUUUAUCAUUACAAUAAUAAAAUCAUUCAUAUUAAAAAGUUGUGUUAUACGUGUUAUCCCUUAAAGUUAAAAAUAGCAAAUGGUCAGUUCUAUAUUUAAUUCUGGUUGUUGAUUGGCUGAGAGAAUUUUCGCGCGGUGCGCGGCAGGUAGUUUUCGAGUGAGGGCUAGUUUUUUGUCGAGCUCAGCAGAGGUGGACAUUAUAUGUCUGAGAUUAUACGUCAAAUAAAUACGACUUCUGACAUGACCUCAUACUGAUCCUGACUUGAUUAACAGCAUUUGUCAUAAUUAUUUGAAGUGGACCAUGAUCCACAAUCAGGGUUGUUCAUUUUAAUACAGAAUAUAUAUAUAUAUGAAAAUCCGAACCAUCAGUAUUGUUAUUCUUGGUACAACGCCCAAUAAUAACGCUACUUCA